Long non-coding RNA from Gasterosteus aculeatus aculeatus (three-spined stickleback), 2231 nucleotides. NCBI's taxonomy places the organism in Eukaryota, Metazoa, Chordata, Actinopteri, Perciformes, Gasterosteidae. The record is from Ensembl.
UCCAGUUGGGUCAUUUUUAUUCAUUUUACUUUUAUGACACAAAAUGCAACGUAGCAGGAACACAGCGUUGUGCCACGCACACACAACCAGCAACCCUGCGUUGGAAUGAAAGAGCCUUUUUAUUCACAUCUUUUGAAGGAUUCAUAUUUGGAUCGUUACUUUAAAUAAAGAAACGAUAAUCUUCACAAAAAUAUUCGAUCCAUACUUUUUCCCAAAAAUGUGUGCUACACAAAUGACACAGAUAACACCAAUAGUUCACGACGGGGCGUUGUGCAUUUCCACGAGUCACUUUCUCUGCACAUGCAAAACUAAGAAAGUGGUGCUUUGGGGAAGGUGGGCGCUGUCGUUCACUGUGUCUGUGUGCACCUGCUCACACAUUCUGCUGCUCCGGAUGCAUUUUCUGCGCGGAUGGAAUAUUUACGCUGUUCGCGUGCACUUGUUGUGCCCGUAAAUAAACGAAAAACGCGUUGAGGCUUUCCUACUAAUAUGGAAUAAGAACACAAAGAGCUUUCUCUGAGGAGAAAUGCUAUUGUGCACUUUUGUUGUAGCCCUCGUGAGAUUAAUCCUGAUAGUUCAGUAAGGCAACUUUCCUUUCAAAGGAAAUCAGGGAAUGUCUCUUUUGUUCAUAGCUGAUAGGGCGACUUCACAGUGGUGGGGAACACGAUCUGAAGGUCCAGGCUCUGUCGGAUUCCUUCGCCUCAAUCGUGUUAACUUCUAGUUAUGUGAAAUUCACACAGUGAGUUGAAGUUCACGAUGACAAAAUCCUCAUUAUGGCACAAUUGUUUGAGAGGCUUGGACCCCGACCAUGACUGCAUUGCAUUGUCAAUGAAUUACUGUUAAAACUGAUGGUUGUGACCUUCAAUAAAACCGGAUUGUGAAGUCGGUAAAAGAAAGCGAUGACGGGUUGAUGUUGGCGCCGCGAUUUUUAUGUUGCCAAUCCAACGUUGUACGCUGUAAAAUGUAAUUAUACUCGUUCUGAAAUGUGCCAGCUGUAGACGAGAAGUGUGUAUUCUUCCUCGUGGAAAGAACUACAACUUCAGAGAAUUGAAGCUCCGGUGAGAGAAUAGUGCUUUGGGAGCCUUUUGACUUCUGAUAUCACGUCUGCUGGGUGCGUAACAUUUAGAUAAAUGUUGUUCAGAAAUCAGUCGUAAUGCCCCAUGUUAAAAAAAACAAACAACCAAAUACAACGUAUGGGGGGCGAGGGGGACAGCAACACUAGAGCAUGGAACCUCCAAAACGUAUGAUCCACAAACACUCGGAGGUUUCGUUACCUCUGCAUGCUAAUUACCCGUUGGCUGCACAGCAAGAACACCAGCGGCAUCCUGAACACAACCGGAAAUGUGGCACUGAACUAAAGGACACGGUAACAUCCAGCCAGCCAUCGGCCCUGAUGGAUAUUUACACUGGCAGCUGCAGCCUCCGCGGAGCUUCCGCUUCGCUAGGCGACCACUUCCUCGCGUGGCAGGUUGAGCCUCACCUCCCCUCCUGCUCCCGCGGCGGCUGAGUAGACCGCGGUGGCGGCGGCAGAAGGAGGGCCAUUGGCCUCCAUGGUGAAGAGCUUGCAGCGCCCGGGUGGCGCCGCGUCGGGCGCCUCCUUCUCCGGGCUGGACGCCCGCGACGACCCGGCGGACGACGUGGGGCUGAGCUGCACCGCCGUGGUAUCCUGCAGCGUGUGCUCGCUGGUCUCUAUUUCGAACGCCGCCCCGCCAGCCAGCCCGCCGUGUCCCAUCAGCCCCGCGCCCCUGCCGCCCGACUUGGACCCGCGGGAGCUGCUGGGAGGGGGGAGGCGGCUGCACACGCAGCACGCCCCGAAAAAGGAGAAGGCCACCAGCAGGAGGAUCGGCCCGAUGAUGAUGGGGGGAUUGGCGGAAGGCACCAGCGUGCUGAAGGCGAACGCUCCCACCAGGGUGAUGUUGAGUCCAGCCAGCAUGAUGCACAGGCCGCAGGCGCAGCACAGCGCCGGAGAAGGAAGGCCGUGAGGGCGGGACUUCCUCCUCGUCUUCUUCUGGGGCUCCUUUUUAGGUACAGGGGUGCCAGCGUUUCUAUCAGUGAUGACCAUGUUUUCUCCUCUCUCUUCCGCGGCGUUAUCGAAUCUCCCCGUGUUUCAGUCCAGACUCUUCCCCAUGGCGCCGUUUAAAUGCAUUCACAGCCCGCCAACAUCUGCAAAUGUGACAACGUGACAGAUGUUAGAGGAUCUUUUUGUUGUUACACACAGUGGAAGACACUCUGCG